UCCGGGUUUUCCGUAAAUCAGAGCUGAAGGA
Molecule: non-coding RNA, 31 nt
Filed under: Rattus norvegicus (Norway rat)
Lineage: Eukaryota; Metazoa; Chordata; Mammalia; Rodentia; Muridae
Source: RNAcentral